Molecule: ribosomal RNA, 395 nt
Filed under: uncultured bacterium
Lineage: Bacteria
Description: partial 16S ribosomal RNA
Rfam family: Bacterial small subunit ribosomal RNA
Source: RNAcentral
AUACGUAGGGCGCGAGCGUUGUCCGGAAUUACUGGGUGUAAAGGGUGCGUAGGCGGGACUGCAAGUCAGAUGUGAAAUGCCGGGGCUCAACCCCGGAGCUGCAUUUGAAACUGUGGUUCUUGAGCGAGGUAGAGGUAAGCGGAAUUCCUAGUGUAGCGGUGAAAUGCGUAGAUAUUAGGAGGAACAUCGGUGGCGAAGGCGGCUUACUGGGCCUUUACUGACGCUGAGGCACGAAAGCGUGGGGAGCAAACAGGAUUAGAUGCCCUGGUUGUCCACGCUGUAAACGAUGAUGACUAGGUGUGGGGGGACUGAACCCUUCCGUGCCGCAGUUAACACAAUAAGUCAUCCACCUGGGGAGUACGGCCGCAAGGUUGAAACUCAAAUGAAUUGACGGG